GACGAACGCUGGCGGCGUGCUAAACACAUGCAAGUCGAACGGUAAGGCCCUUCGGGGUACACGAGUGGCGAACGGGUGAGUAACACGUGGGUGAUCUGCCCUGCACUUCGGGAUAAGCCUGGGAAACUGGGUCUAAUACCGGAUAGGACUCCGGACUGCAUGGUCUGGGGUGGAAAGCUUUUGCGGUGUGGGAUGGGCCCGCGGCCUAUCAGCUUGUUGGUGGGGUAAUGGCCUACCAAGGCGACGACGGGUAGCCGGCCUGAGAGGGUGACCGGCCACACUGGGACUGAGAUACGGCCCAGACUCCUACGGGAGGCAGCAGUGGGGAAUAUUGCACAAUGGGCGCAAGCCUGAUGCAGCGACGCCGCGUGAGGGAUGACGGCCUUCGGGUUGUAAACCUCUUUCAGUAGGGACGAAGCGCAAGUGACGGUACCUACAGAAGAAGGACCGGCCAACUACGUGCCAGCCGCCGCGGUAA
Molecule: ribosomal RNA, 478 nt
Filed under: uncultured bacterium
Lineage: Bacteria
Description: partial 16S ribosomal RNA
Rfam family: Bacterial small subunit ribosomal RNA
Source: RNAcentral